UUUUGAGUAGACGUUCAAUGAACGCAAACCUAAUAUGAAAAGUCUUCACUUUAUCAUUACGCUAUUUGCGUUAAUCUCCAUGACGGUCGGUAGUAAUGUAUUGAAUAACGUGAUAUUUGAGAUGCGAAAUGUGGAAAGCCAAGCAUGUUCAGUUGAAUCUUUCGAGGCGAGAAACUUAGUCUGCAAUGUACCAAUAGAAGAUGGAUUCAUUCAAAAUAAUGGAACUUGUGAUUUGUCCCGUAGUGAUGAAAUCAUUAAAACUAUGUACUGUUACCAUGGUUAUUUGUAUAUAUCAUACACGAAACA
This is a long non-coding RNA of Mytilus trossulus (common blue mussel), 306 nucleotides long. RefSeq lists it as uncharacterized. The record is from RefSeq and is a predicted model, not a curated record. Lineage: Eukaryota; Metazoa; Mollusca; Bivalvia; Mytilida; Mytilidae. The transcript is spliced from 3 exons.